UACGAGGGGGGCAAGCGUUGUUCGGAAUUAUUGGGCGUAAAGGGCGCGUAGGCGGUGCGGUAAGUCACCUGUGAAACCUCUAGGCUUAACCUAGAGCCUGCAGGCGAAACUGCCGUGCUGGAGUGUGGGAGAGGUGCGUGGAAUUCCCGGUGUAGCGGUGAAAUGCGCAGAUAUCGGGAAGAACACCCGUGGCGAAGGCGGCUCUCUGGGACGGUACUGACGCUGAGACGCGAAAGCGUGGGGAGCGAACAGG
RNAcentral lists this ribosomal RNA (253 nucleotides) under uncultured prokaryote. Its description in RNAcentral is "partial 16S ribosomal RNA". It matches the Rfam family "Bacterial small subunit ribosomal RNA", at positions 524 to 776 of the family's 1533-position model. The record is from RNAcentral.